UACACUCCUGCGGGAGGCAGCAGUGGGGAAUUUUGGACAAUGGGCGAAAGCCUGAUCCAGCAAUGCCGCGUGUGUGAAGAAGGCCUUCGGGUUGUAAAGCACUUUUGUCCGGAAAGAAAUCCUUGGCUCUAAUACAGUCGGGGGAUGACGGUACCGGAAGAAUAAGCACCGGCUAACUACGUGCCAGCAGCCGCGGUAAUACGUAGGGUGCGAGCGUUAAUCGGAAUUACUGGGCGUAAAGCGUGCGCAGGCGGUUUGCUAAGACCGAUGUGAAAUCCCCGGGCUCAACCUGGGAACUGCAUUGGUGACUGGCAGGCUAGAGUAUGGCAGAGGGGGGUAGAAUUCCACGUGUAGCAGUGAAAUGCGUAGAGAUGUGGAGGAAUACCGAUGGCGAAGGCAGCCCCCUGGGCCAAUACUGACGCUCAUGCACGAAAGCGUGGGGAGCAAACAGGAUUAGAUACCCGUGUAGUCCC
This 473-nucleotide ribosomal RNA is filed under the name uncultured organism. Its description in RNAcentral is "partial 16S ribosomal RNA". It matches the Rfam family "Bacterial small subunit ribosomal RNA", at positions 332 to 797 of the family's 1533-position model. The record is from RNAcentral.